Non-coding RNA from Podarcis lilfordi (Lilford's wall lizard), 13627 nucleotides. Lineage: Eukaryota; Metazoa; Chordata; Lepidosauria; Squamata; Lacertidae. The record is from the annotation of a GenBank genome assembly.
CCCUACAAGAUUACAGAAAUUAUUUCCCCUCAAAUUAGUGGAAGAAACAAAAGAUGUCUCCUGAAACAUAAAAGCCAAGAAUGCAUUGGCAUAAAAUUUGAAAAUAGGACGUGGUGCUCAAAGCAGGUAGCCUUGUCCCAAAUUCUGGAGGAGAAUUCUGUGUCCUUUUUCUCACAAGACAAAUGAGGACCUCACAGGUUCUGCUGAGCCAGCAUGUUCUCAAAUACACUCACAUGUCAAAGCUGCUAGUCUCAAAGGAAGUUUGAUGAGGGGAAAUCCAUACAAAGUUCUCAAAUGCAAGGAGCAGAUUAGGAAGAAAGUAUUCAACUGAAACAGGAACUUGUGUUUUAAAACAUGAUGAACAGCACAAUCCACUGCAUGUAUAUUCAGUAAGUACGAUUAAGUUAAAUGGGGCUUAUUACUAGGUAAGUGUGCACAGGAUUGCAGUCUAAGAGAUUUCACAAGGCUCUACCGUUCCUUGAAAAGAAUCCAGGAGAGUAUAUAUUAGGUUUUUUUUGUAUAUAUGUGCUAAAUAGUUCAGAGUCUACAGAGGAGGGUAUUAACUUCCUUUCAUGGAAACCAUUUCAAGUAACACUAGAGACAAAUAAUAGAUUUUAAACAGUCCAACAGGAUAUUUAAUUGUAUAGAAUAUAAAUGCCAGGCUGCCUGUGCCAUCCCACAUCAUAGGAAUCUUUGCACUUUCCAAUGAGCUGGAGCAAAGCAUAGGCUUCUCCUAUCAGAGAUGAGGAGACCAACAGCCAAGUUUUUUUAAGUCUCAAAGUCACUAAUUUUAAAAGUUGCCACUCUGUCUGGCUCUCCCUUCCUUGAUCUCCCAAUAAUCAACCCCAUUCUGUUUUGCUUUGCUUUUUUAAAAAAAUAAAAAUUAAAUUUUACUGUAAAGGUUCUGCCAAAAUUUUGUAAAGGAUUCCAGCACUAUAAAAACUUUGAGAACCACUGCAUUGGUCCAUGGGUAAAGUUAGGCCAUUAUUCAGCCCCUUAUCUGCUGUACAGAGGUGAUAAUAUUUUAUCUCGCAGAGUUGUUGCAAAGAUUACAUAAACUGAUGGUCCAAGUCUACAGAAACAGAUCCUUGUUGUUGUUGUUGUUUAGUCGUUCAGUCAUGUCCGACUCUUCGUGACCCCAUGGACCAGAGCAUGCCAGGCACUCCUGUCUUCCACUGCCUCCCACAGUUUGGUCAGACUCAUGUUUGUAGCUUCGAGAACACUGUCCAACCAUCUUGUUCUCUGUCGUCCCCUUCUCCUUGUGCCCUCCAUCUUUCCCAACAUCAGGGUCUUUUCCAGGGAGUCUUCUCUUCUCAUGAGGUGGCCAAAGUACUGGAGCCUCAGCUUCACGAUCUGUCCUUCCAGUGAGCACUCAGGGCUGAUUUCCUUAAGAAUGGAUACGUUUGAUCUUCUUGCAGUCCAUGGGACUCUCAAGAGUCUCCUCCAGCACCAUAAUUCAAAAGCAUCAAUUCUUCGGCGACCAGCCUUCUUGAUGGUCCAGCUCUCACUUCCAUACAUCACUACUGGGAAAACCAUGGCUUUAACUAUACGGACCUUUGUUGGCAAGGUGAUGUCUCUGCUUUUUAAGAUGCUGUCUAGGUUUGCCAUCGCCUUUCUUCCAAGGAGCAGGCGUAUUUUAAUUUCGUGACUACUGCAGUGUUCAUGGAGCCCAAGAAAGUAAAAUCUCUCACUGCCUCCAUUUCUUCCCCUUCUAUUUGCCAGGAGGUGAUGGGCCCAGUGGCCAUGAUCUUCGUUUUUUUUUUAUGUUGAGCUUCAGACCAUAUUUUGCGCUCUCCUCUUUCACCCUUUGUUGCAAAGAUUACAUAAAUUGAUGGUUCAAGUCUACAGAAGCAGAUCCUUACAAACUAUCAACAGCAAAAAAUAUUGAGAAGGUUAAGUAGGACUUUACAAACUGUAUUUCAUCAAUCCAUAUGGUAGCUUAUCGUGCCAUUUUACGAAUGGGGAACUAAGGCUGAGAGAAAGUGAAGUUAAGUUAGACCUUUUGGCAUUUGUUCCUACAGCUCCUUUGCCAUGGAAUACAUAUUUUCUGCAGCUUCUUCCCUAGGCCUACUCUUGCCAAUGCUUUUUGGUGCUAGGAAUGCCUGCAGAAAAAAAUGCUUUCUGAAAGAGCUUUCCUUUCCUAAAACCAUUUCAUCUCUGUUGUUAAUGAUACAGAUGCUAGAAGGACACUCAAGAGAAAAGGCCGCUGCUAAAACACCACUUUCAAACUCUCUGAGCAUUUCCUUACAACCACUUCACUUCUAGCUUUUGUUUAGAAUCUGUGACAUGAACACAAAAAACCGAGUGGCCAACAAGAGUCUAAGUCUCAGACAUAUAUUCUUGCCCCCAUUUCACAAGCCAUGCACGAACACAGACCAAGCUCAUAAUAACAAUAAACUAUGACGGCUGUGCAUCUCUCCACCUACGUAAGCUUCAGCAUCAUGCUGAUAGAUCCGCCCAGAGGUUGUUUAUCUAACCUGUCCUCUUUUAAGAAAACUUUCCCAAGCUUGUUACUCUCUACUAUGGCCAAUUAACUUGGGGAAAAGCAGAAGAAAUAAACAGUUAUCAGACUCUUGCAUUUGAGGGCCCCUGCGGACGUACUUUUUAUCAAGCAUUCAUCAUGGUCUGUGCUCACGUAAUCAGGGCGGUUAUAUGCAAUCACAAUUCCAACACCGUUGGCACCUGCAAAAGUUUUUGGUUGGUCAUAAUACUUCGUUUGUAGUAGGUGCAUGUCCUGCAGGAAAACUCUGUAACUUUUCAUACCACUAAUGUCCCAGGGGGUGGGGAGUGUUGUCCCACUUCUGCUGUGCACAAGAGUAGCCCUCCAGAUGGCAAUAAUAUAGUUACACUGGGGACUUCAGGGGAUAAGCUCAGGGUCUCAGAACCUGGAGCAGACAGUCCUUUAGAUGCUCUGAUCCAAAAUCAUUUAUAAUCUUUAAAAGUUAAUGAUCAGCACUUUGAACUAUGCCCAGAAAUGAACCAGAAGUCAUUGUGGCUCUUUUAAUGAGACUUGCAAGCUUCCAAGGUCUAGUUCAUAUCAGCUUUCUGACUGCCACAGUAUGGGACUGCUGAAGUUUCCAAACACACCUCAGAAGUAGCUGCACAUAGAGCACAUUGCAGUCAUCCAGUCUUGAUGUAACUAAGACGUGUGUAGCCCCAACCAGACUGGACCACUCCAGGAAUAGACACACUGACGUACCAGCCUAAGCUGGGCAAAGUCACUCCUAGCCACCACCUGAGCAUCAAGGAACGAGGAGGCAGGAUCCAGGAAUACUUCACAAGUGCAAACCUGAGUCUUCAAGGAAGUGUUACCCCAUCCAAGAUGGGUUGAUUUCCUCUUUCCAUAUCAGCAGUCCUGACAUUUGCGCACUUUCAGACAACCUGUUUAUUGAGCAUUCAUCCUAGUUUGUUUCUGAGGUUAGGCAGCAUUGCACCAAGAAAGGGCCGGUAUGUGAUUGAAUCCUACUGUAAAAUAGUAAUAGUCUAGCAGCCCCCAUUGUCUUCUCUGGGUUAAAUUUCAAUUUAUUAACAUCCAUCCAGUACAUUACUACUUUCAGACAAUGGCUCAGAACGUUUACAUGAACCAGAUACCCUAUGCCAGAGAAAGCAGGAAGAGUGGAAAUGAGAAAUGAGUUAGACAGGUGUAAAAUGAGAUAAAUUGUGGUGGAGCAGUCCCCCGAGACUUAGAACCAGCAAUAAACUUUGCUAGGGGUCUCCAAGAUCUGGGUUAAAAGAUGACUAUCCUUCCCUAGGAUAGUCAAUAUUUCAAACAUAUUCUCAUGAAACUUUCCUGGGAGAUUAAACCCACCUGACUAAAAGGCCUGUGAUUUCUUGAGCGGAGAAGAACCAAAGAGUUCUGUAUUUCACAGCAGUUCCCACCUCUCACAGGCCACAGGUCUCUGAGUAAUGAAAAUGUCUCCAUCGCAGUAUCAACAAACAUUCAUUGGGAAAUGUGUAAUGCAGAGCAAAGGGUACACACAUUGAUUAGAAAUGAAGUAAACUGGCUUGGAUGACAUAACUGUCAACAUGAACCUUCACCUAAAAUUUCUAAUCCAACCAAUUUGAAUCUUUGUUUAAAUCUCACAUCCACCCAUUAAGAUUUUAUAAAAUCAAAAACAUCAAUAUUUUUCUUCCAAUUUUCUCUUUACUCAGUGCUUUAUCCUUCCAGAGGUCACCCAAAAGUCACCUGCUCUGGCCAAUUUAGAAGGAUCAGAAUAACAUUGGGGAAUUAAUAUCGGAUCUUUUCCAAGCUGGCAACUAUCAGUAACUGCCUGAAAACGUGAAUCAAACUCUGUAAAGUGUGCAAAGGGAAGGCUUGGAGAAAACAUCAGUAAAAAGAUGUGCAAUCGGUGAAGCCACCCAAAACAGGGAAGCUAAAAUUGUACAUUGAUUUCAGAAACUGGAAAGAGAUCCAAUUGGCCUGUUUUUGUUAUUAUUUGUUACUCAGUUUGCCAAAUAAUGUAUACUGAUUUUCUUUUUUCAAAGAAACUAAUAAAUAAAAUACUGUUGCUUCUUCCAGGCUUGAAAGGAAGAAGAAAUUGAUAGUUCAUUAGCAAGACAAGAUGGCGAAAGGAGAAAAGGGAGAACGCAAAUUCUAUUGGGCUUGUCCAUAAGCCACACACAAAGCACAAAGAACUGGAUAGAAGAUUAAAGCCAUCCAGCUGAAGCAGUCAUAAGAAGGCCUAAAGAAGAUCAUCAUGGUGGUACUCACUGAAAAGUGUGGGGGGGACGACCCAGAGAGGGUCAGAUUGGUCUUCCGGGCUACAAUAGUGGAAGCUGGGAUAAGGGAAAGUCAUACCCUGAGCAAUCCUAGUCCAGGCAGGAAGCUUGUUGGAGGAACUACAGAGCUUCCCUACACUUCCUUCAUGAAGCAUGACUGAGAAAAGGCUGAUUUCCUUACCCAGCUCCUUAAGGAAAUGGUACUUCUUGAAUCCAGUCCCCAUCUGUGGGGAAAUGGCUUUCUGAGCUCACUUUCCCCAGGGAGCUUUCCCAAACUGUCUCCAACUAAGAAUUAGUCUAAGAAUUAGUUCCCAUGGUAACGUAUCACCUAUAUUUCCUCAGGUGAAGACGUGCUGAGCCAGACCUGUCCUCAGGUUUCAGGCCCCUUUUCCCUCUCUUGCCCACUCACACCAAGAAUUCAAUAUUUUUAAAUCCCUGUUUUCAACUGUCAUUCACUGAUACUUUUAAUAUUGGGUUUUUGUAAACCACUUAUUCUGACGCUUUUUACAAGCCAUAUAAUAAUUGUUAAAUAGGCAGAUAAAAAUAAGAAAAUUUCCCAAUGCUUAGUGGCAAUCUUCAUUUGAAUGUCAGUUUUUUUCCUUUUCCCUCCUUCCAAAUAUUCUGUUUUCAUAGAGGAAGGACAGUUGAGGAACCAGGUUUUGUUGGCUGAAGGGAUAGCGGUGAAGAAUAGUGCUGAGGGGCUGCAAAUGAAUGUAGGCAUAGGGCUAUGUCCUCCUGAGGAAAAUGUGCUCCUACACAGUGAGAAGGAAAUGAGAUUUGUAGUGGCAGAAACUGCUGGAGGGAAGGGGAUGGUGGUGGGAGGUUUCAGAGAGUUAAGGAAUGUCUCGAAAUAAAGGCAAGUACUAGCACAGUUGCUUUCUAUUUAGGAGCAAAUAUCAGAUAUAUUUAACUGCAGGAUACUCUUGUUAGCUAUCUGGCAUACCAAGUACACAAAUAAUUGCAAUGCCAAAAAUCAUAAUUGCAAAGAUAGCUGCCAAAAAGCAAAAGAACUGAAAACUGAACCAUUCCUGCCACCGCCCCACCACACCCAAGUGGCCAGCACAAUAGCAUUAAAUCUGCACCAGUAAAUGAGGUAAGCACAAAAGGAAUAAGCAGAGGAAAGUGCAAAAUAAGGAAGGCAUACCUAAUAUACAGUGGUACCUCGGGUUACAUAUGCUUCAGGUUACAGACUCCGCUAACCCAGAAAUAGUACCUCGUGUUAAGAACUUUGCUUCAGGAUGAGAACAGAAAUCGUGCUCCAGCGGCGUGGCAGCAGCAGGAGGCCCCAUUGGCUAAAGUGGUCUUCAGGUUAAGAACAGUUUCAGGUUAAGAACGGACCUCCGGAACAAAUUAAGUACUUAACCCGAGGUACCACUGUAUUCACAAUCCAUAAAUUAAUAGUUUGUGAGAAAUGUGAAUAAAUGAAACAACAUAAUAACGGUUAUUUUAUUUGAUAUUUGUGAACUUCAUUUAAAGUGUCCAAUUAUUUUGGUUUAAGUUGCUGUUUGUUUUAACACCUCUUUCACAAUGCAAAGGAAAGGACAUGUGCUAGCCCCCGAGGGAAGGAACUGUUUAAUUUUGGAUUUCUUUGCUUUCAAAUGUUUGCUUUCUUAACCUUAUUCUUUAAAUCUUCACUUACUUUUCCUUUAUUGAACAAACGUUGUAGUAGAAUAAAUCAUUUUAGACUAGAAUGUUGUUGCAAAAUACAUUUCAAUUAAUUUCCCCACUGGAUUUGACUUGUUUACACUUAGCCUGAAGGAAAUCUAAUAAAAUUAUGACUUGGUUGUUUUACUAUGAAAAAUAGCCAUGUCCACUGGGAAAACCAAGAAACCUUGGCGAUAUAAACAUGUUGUUUUCAAGUCCACUUUUUCAUCUUGAGGCCAGUUCCCCCUUUUCCCUAUUCAGUGUGCCAUCAUCCUCUGUUAUUCAUAUUUUCCCACCGUUAUGCCUUUUUGUGGGCUUUAAGGCCUUAUCCUAAAUUGAAAUGGAAGCAAAGAUUCCCAUUAUAUAUUCUAAAUGCAUCAUUUCCAAGAGAAUGUUCCAAUGGUCCAUCCGGGCAAAACUACAUAUGCUGAUUCCACCAUGUGCCUUUAAAUGCUGGCUGUUGCUUCACCUUUGCAAAGAAGUAUCAGGAAGGUACAAUUUCGAGCAAGAGGCAGGAAGCAGGAGGAGGGCACUCCCUUCCCUCUCCCAGCACUUUCCUCAUCCAACUUUAGCCUCAUUGCACAAGCUGCUUUUUCCCAGCAAGGGUUCAAGAUCCAUGCUUACAAAGGAAAUAUACCCGAGUGGGUGAGCCUACUCCCAUUCUGAUAACAUAAUCUGAUGACAAUGAAAUGUCAUCAAGAACUCUACCUCCAAAUCAGAAUUCAAGGGUAAUCUCCCAGAUUGCAUGCUGCUGAGUUUCCCCAUGACCACAGAGGAGCAAUCAUUUUUUAUGGGCAUCACCAACCAACCGCCUCGCACAUAUGCACACACCUCCUCUGGCACACACAGAGGACUUGGGGAAGUGAGAGGUCUCCCAUAUUGCACUGGGCUUGGAGGAGGCAGGAGCAGCAGGGAUGUCUCUGUUUCUGCCUGCCCCACCCCUUAAAAGGGCAGCCCCCAAGUUCCCUAGCAUGCAGAGGAUUCAGGAGGAGGUCUCAUAUUGUGGUGGACUGUGCAACAGAUGUCAGCUCUUUCAGACGUCUUCUGAAAAAUGUAUAGUUUAGACAGGGCUUCACAACAGGAAUUUAUCUGUUGCGCAACCAGUAUUUCCUGAUUUUUUGAAUUAUGUUUUAAUGGAUGCCUUUUUUUAAUUAUAUUUUGUGUGAUGUGUCCCGCCUUUAUAUGCUGUAAUCAAAGUGUGGAUUAUAAAUAUUCCAGUAAGUAAAGAGACAGGUGGAAACACCUCCGAAGCUCAGCAGGAAUUGAGAGAUCCCCACCUAUCCCCCAAGUUCACGCCAGAGAACUCAAAAGGGAGCUAUUCUGCCUGUCCUAAAGGUGCGCAUGAGACCUGCAAAUUCUCUCCAAUUUGCAAAAUCGUGAAGGAAGUGGGGAUCUGCGUGCUGCUCAGUAUUUUUGUCAGGGCAGGUGCAGUUGAUAGAAGCAGUUGCCACUGGCAAUCAGAUUUGUCAAGGCUUUUCAAAGCAGGGAAUAGAGUUUGUGCCAGAAAGUUGGUUUAGGAUUAUAGCCUGUGUCUUCCAGUUUCAUUUUGUGAGAGGCUGUAGAUCUAACUAUAAUGUGGGUGGUUUUUUUGCCCCAAGGUAUCUCCCAGUGCCACAAAGAAUUAAUAGUUAUGACUUCAAAAAUGUAGACUGUAAUAAUCCAGCAGCCAACUUGCUGCUGAAAUUUCCUGAAGUUUCUUAAAUCUGGGAGGACUGUUUAAUAAAAAUAGCACUGAGUCUGACCUGUAGUGCCCCCUCUGGAAAGGAGAAGAAAAUGUCCUGUGGGGAACAAACCUGAAUAGGGCAUUACUGUGUGGGAACUGGAUGACCUAAUAGGUUUUUCCAUCUCCUUUCUCUAGUUCUUUAAUUAGGAAUUGUCUAAAACGCUACCAGCCCACCAGUGAAAUAGAUCUGCAGUUUGGAUGAAGGUACCCUGCAAGGCAGACACAUGCCAUUCAUUAGCAUUGGCAGGCCACGGGCAGGGAGGGGAAUGGGAGCCUGAACAUUUCCUCUGUGACUGGAAGCAGGCAGGCAUAACAUGAAGUGACGAACAAGGAAAAGAGUAAGUCAAGAUGGAGAGAAAGCCCCUUUUCUUGAAUAUUCAAAUCACAGUAAUAAUUGCUCCACUUUGCUUCUUCCGAAACAGGACAAAAUGGAGCCUGCCUACUCUAUAAUACCGGGGGGGGGGGGGUAUUGCAAGCAAGUGCUGCCUGUUUCCUUCAAGACACAGCCCCUAUUUCCAAAGUUUCAGUUUCAGUUUGGCUUAUAAAGCUAAAAAUUGACCAUCGUAUAUCAAGUGUCACAUGAACCAUGGUCAAUCCUCACGUUGAAAUAUCUUUGAACCAUCUACAGUGGUACCUCAGGUUAAGAACUUAAUUUGUUCUGCAGGUCUGUUCUUAACCUGAAACUGUUCUUAACCUGAAGCACCACUUUAGCUAAUGGGGCCUCCCACUGCUGCCGUGCGAUUUCUGUUCUCAUCCUGAAGCAAAGUUCUUAACCCGAGGUACUAUUUCUGGGUUAGCGGAGUCUGUAACCUGAAGUGUCUGCAAACUGAAGCAUCUGUAUCCCGAGGUACCACUGUAUUCUGCAAUGGUCCAAGGGCCUCACUGCCCUUCUUACAUUUGAAACCAUUCUUUGUGUGGAUGUAUCAAAGGUUAUUAUAUUUUUAAUGAGAGGGUGUCUUUCCUUUUUUUUUCUCCAUCUCUCAUAUUCUCUUUAUUCUUUUUUGCUUUAAAUUUAUUUAAAAAUCAAUAAUAAAAUUCCCUUAUGUCAAACUUUGCAGGUCCAAAGUGUAAAAGUGAGUGUAGUCAUUUUUGAAAUACACUUUUUGGGGGGGCGGGGCAGUUACAAAAACUCUUUGGCAGCACAUAAUUGCAGCAGCGAACCCACAAGAGCGGUCAGCAAAAAAAGAGCAAACAAUCAAAGCAAAUGAGGCACAAGAGGCCUUGGUGGAUACAAAAACUAUUUUGGCAUCACAGUGGGGGACCUAUGGGAGAAAUCAAGAAAAAAUGUAAAUUUUUUUGAAACUUUUUAAAAAAUUGGGGUGCUCUUGAGGGUCUACAAAAAAAAAACCUUUUGACAUCAUAGCAUCACAUCAAGGGAAACAAAGGAUUUGCUAAAAAUAAUUUUAAAAUUAAUUAUUUUGAGAAAUUACACAUUUUGGAGGGGUCCUGGGGAAGCACCACAAAACCUAUGGGGGAUCGCAUGCGGCCCAUGGAACAUGGGUUGGCCACCCCUUCUGUAGAGAGAUGAACACUCUUUUCUUGCAACACACAAGUAGUUUCUAGCAUUAUUUUUCUCCCCUUUCUCCUUCAACGAAAAACUUUUGGACCAAAUCUUAUAAUCUUUCCAAAUACAGAAGAACAGGGAAGAAUCAAAGAUAUGGUUGGCCUGCAAAAAAUAUUAAGGCUUUCUGUCCAAGCUGGCACACAGUUUGUAGCCUUGGGAUUGAAUUAGCUACACUUAACAAUCACGACAGAAAAUGCUGUCUGAUCAGAUAAGGAAAGAAAACAUGAGAAACAAAUGUUCAGGCUGUUCUCUGAUUCCAAUUUGCUUUGAGAACAGUUAAUUUGCAUUAAAUCAGGUGGCAUUACAUAAGGUAUGGAUCGAGAUUAAUUAAUGCAUCUUUAGGAGGGAAAUGUUAUUUAUGUAUAAAAGAAAAGAAAUUACAUUUUUGCAUAGACUAGCCUGACAGGUCGCCACUUGCCUGGUCACUUCUGGAAAGUAUGAAUUGCCACUAGAUGCCAUUAAAUGAAGAAGAUUGGUGCUACUUUUUGGAUUUGAUCACAGGCCAAUUUACUUCAUUGUCCUUUCUCCAAAGUGUCCAGCAAAGAAUACUUCAGAGGAAACAUUACAUUGCUCGAGUAUUUGUAAUAUAUGGACCUACCUUUGGUCCAAAGUCCUUCAUGCUGGCUCACUAACAAGAGUUUAAACAAUCUAGAUUAUUUCAUUUCAGUGGAUUGGUCAUACUUAAUGACAGAAUAACUGCAGCUAAAUAAAAACAUUUAGCAACGUAGGUACGGUAAUUUAGAUAGUAGGUGAUUGUGAGGAGCUGGAAGGAAAGGAAUGCACUGACAUUUUGGUUGUGGACAGAAAGCUGAAAACUGUCCAACAGUCAGAUGGCAUUUUCUGGUGUGUACAUUUAUCCCACAUUUCCGUUGCAUAAACUGGUUUCUGUAUUGUUUUAAAAACCUGUUUAACUGGGGCAAAAGGAACAUGCGUUCAAAUGGAGCAUGAAGCCUUUUCUCAAACAAGCUUUUAGCUAUGUCAAAAACUGCUUUUUGUCUUCCUGUCUCUGCCAGUCCACUGAGAUAAAGAUGCAUUUGCCUUCCAUUCAAAUAUUUAAUUUCAUGAUUUUCUGAGAUGAAGGCUAGACCCUGAAGAAUAGCCAUUUUAAUACUUCACACAGAUAACAUUUUUUAAGUACAGCGGUACCUUGGGUUACAAACACCUCAGGUUACAAACACUUCGGGUUACAAACUCCACUAACCCGGAAGUAGUACCUCGGGUUGAGAACUUUGCCCCAGGAUGAGAACAGAAAUCGUGCGCCAACAGCGUGCCGGCAGCAGUAAGCCCCAUUAGCAAAAGUGCGCCUCAGGUUAAGAACGGUUUCGGGUUAAGAACGGACCUCUGGAACGAACUGAGUCUGUAACCCGAGGUACCACUGUAUUACAAAAGACAAAAUAGAAGCAAUGAUCUAUUAGGACCCAGAUGCACUUCUAGUAGAUGCAUGGGGCAGUGUGUGUGUGUCCAGUGCUGAUCUGCUUGUCUCCUAUGAGCUGAUGCUCCUCCUGUUGGAAAAGGUGGAGAGGUCCACUUUUCAGGACUAGUGUCAUACAGCUGAGGUAGGGGUUGGGGGGGAAGAAGGAAGUCACAGCAUGGCACGGAUGGGCUAAGUAGGGUGGAUCCUGCAGCUGUGCUGAGGUCAGGUGCUCUUCACAGCCUCCUGUCUUCCACCCACAGCUGCCAUGACAGCUACAGCUGCAUGCCUCACCAACUCCGCAGCAGGAAGGGGUCAAACUUGUCUGCACCGUCCAGAGCAAUCUCACUGCAGUUGGUGAGCAGCAGCAGCAAACCUGCUUCACUGCAGGCCCCUUUCUCAACAAGGAUGGCAGCAGUGGAAGAUGCCACUACUGCCACUGCAGCAGCCACAGCAGUGGCACUUCCCUUUGCUACAGAGUAGCAACAUCUACACUUCGGAACUUCCUGCCUAUUGACAUCAGGUCAGCACCUUCUCUGUAUUCUUUUUGGCGCCUGCUUGGAACAUUUUUGUUUAGGCAAGGUGGCGCUGUGGUCUAAACCACUGAGCCUCUUGGGCAUGCCGAUCAGAAGGUCGGCGGUUUGAAUCCCCGUGACAGGGUGAGCUCCUGUUGCUCGGUCCCUGCUCCUGCCAACCUAGCAGUUCGAAAGCACGCCAAAAGUGCAAGUAGAUAUAUAGGUACUGCUCCGGUGGGAAGGUAAACGGCGUUUCCGUGCACUGCUCUGGUUUCGCCAGAAGCGGCUUAGUCAUGCUGGCCACAUGACCCGGAAAAACUGUCUGCAGACAAACACCAGCUACCUCGGCCUUUAAAAGCAAGAUGAACUCCACAACCCCAGAGUCGUCUGCGACUGGACUUAACUGUCAGGGGUCCUUUACCUUUACCUUUUAUAGAGACAUGUCCCUUUUUAGUUUACUGCUGAUUUUGUUUUAAAAUGUUCUUCAUUAUUUGUUUUUAACUGUUUUCCUGACAAUUUAAUAUUUCUUGUAAACUGCUUGGAUAUUUUGUUACAAUCAAGUGGUGUAUACAUUUUGCUAAAUAAACAUGUAUGUUCCAAGUAACAGCCUGUAAAAGGUUAGUGGUUGACAGUUCAAUGAACUGUGUAUUUGUAUAUGAAUUUAUGACAGUUCAGGGAACUCUGUAUGAGUUCAAUGGGACUUACUUCCUGCACUUAAGAGAAAUUACACCACAGCCUAUAAGGGUAAAUGCCACAAGGUUGUUGCGGUAAUGUCCGUGCAACAUGAAACAAGUUCACUUGAGAUACUUCAUUCACAAAUAGCAAUGCAAAUAACUUUGCACUCGUAUUUUUCUACAAGGUUAGCUAUUUCAGAGUGUCAUUUCUUAUGUGAUUCAUUAAUUUAUGAAUCACUUCCCAUAAAACACCCCAGGAUGAUUUACAAUAAAAUCAUCUGCAAUGAAAAUAUUUUUAAAAAUACAAUAAAGAAAAAAGGCUGGGAUAUAAAUCUUCUUAAAAGUCUUGUUGGAAGAGGAAGGUCUUCAGUGAGCACCAAAAAGAUAAAAGAGACAGCAUCUGUCUGAUGUGCAGCAAGAGGGAGUCCCAAAGGGCAGGUGCCACCACAAUGAAGGCCUGAUUUGUACAUCAUAGAGCUCUUGUUGUGGCAAUACCUGUAGGAAGCUCAGCUGGAUAUACAAUGGCUGAAACAAUAUUUUAGGUAUUCUGUUCCCAAAUUGCCCAGGGCUUUGCACACCACUACCAAUCCCCUGAAUGCAGCUAAGCAGCUAACCAGCACCACUCAAAUUCUUUUAGCAGAGGCUGGCAUUGUACCCCAGUAAAACUAGUGAUUAAGCAAAGGGAAGGCGCCUAUAUCUCAUCCUCCCAAUACUUUAGGGUACUGAAAAAGAUUUGUACAAUAUUAUUAUUAAUUACCCACUCUUCAUCCUACAGUGCCAGGAUGGGUUGUUGUUGCUGCUGCUGCUGCUGCUGUUGGUAUUUUCCCUACUCUUCAUCCUAUAGUGCCAGGAUGGGUUAGUAGUAGUAUUAAUUGCCCACUCUUCAUCCUACAGUGCCAGGAUGGGUGGUUGUUGUUGUUGUUGUUUACCCACUCUUCAUUCUAAAGUGCCAGGAUGGGUUAUGAUGAUGAUGAUUAAUUACCCACUCUUCAUCCUACAGUCCCAGGGCAGAUUAAAGCAUUGUUGUUGUUUAGUUGUUUAGUCAUGUCUGACUCUUCGUGGCCCCAUGGACCAGAGCACGCCAGGCACUCCUGUCUUCCACUGCCUCCUGCAGCUUGGUCAAACUCAUGUUCGUAGCUUCAAGAACACUGUCCAACCAUCUUGUUCUCUGUCGUCCCCUUCUCCUUGUGCCCUCCAUCUUUCCCAACAUCAGGGUCUUUUCCAGAGAGUCUUCUCUUCUCAUGAGGUGGCCAAAGUAUUGGAGCCUCAGCUUCAGGAUCUGUCCUUCCAGUGAGCACUCAGGGCUGAUUUCCUUAAGAAUGGAUGCGUUUGAUCUUCUUGCAGUCCAUGGGACUCUCAAGAGUCUCCUCCAGCACC